UCCGGCUUGUCACCGGCAGUUUCUCCAAAGUGCCCAGCAUUACCUGAUGGCAACUGGAGACGAGGGUUGCGCUCGUUGCGGGACUUAACCCAACAUCUCACGACACGAGCUGACGACAGCCAUGCAGCACCUGUGCACGCUUCCCUUGCGGGCUCGUUGCCCUUUCAGGCUCCUACUACGUGCAUGUCAAGGCCAGGUAAGGUUCUUCGCGUUGCAUCGAAUUAAGCCACAUACUCCACCGCUUGUGCAGGCCCCCGUCAAUUUCUUUGAGUUUUAAUCUUGCGACCGUACUCCCCAGGCGGCACGUUUAUCGCGUUAGCUUCGCCACAAGAGGGGUCGAUUCCUCUUACAGCAAACGUGCACCGUUUACAGCCAGGACUAC
This 382-nucleotide unclassified non-coding RNA is filed under the name uncultured Verrucomicrobiae bacterium. Its description in RNAcentral is "contains 16S-23S intergenic spacer region". The record is from RNAcentral. Lineage: Bacteria; Pseudomonadati; Verrucomicrobiota; Verrucomicrobiia.